GACGAACGCUGGCGGCGUGCCUAAUACAUGCAAGUAGAACGCUGAAGGAGGAGCUUGCUUCUCUGGAUGAGUUGCGAACGGGUGAGUAACGCGUAGGUAACCUGCCUGGUAGCGGGGGAUAACUAUUGGAAACGAUAGCUAAUACCGCAUAAGAGUAGAUGUUGCAUGACAUUUGCUUAAAAGGUGCAAUUGCAUCACUACCAGAUGGACCUGCGUUGUAUUAGCUAGUUGGUGAGGUAACGGCUCACCAAGGCAACGAUACAUAGCCGGCCUGAGAGGGGGAUCGGCCACACUGGGACUGAGACACGGCCCAGACUCCUACGGGAGGCAGCAGUAGGGAAUCUUCGGCAAUGGGCGGAAGUCUGACCGAGCAACGCCGCGUGAGUGAAGAAGGUUUUCGGAUCGGAAAGCUCUGUUGUAAGAGAAGAACGAGUGUGAGAGUGGAAAGUUCACACUGUGACGGUAUCUUACCAGAAAGGGACGGCUAACUACGUG
This 495-nucleotide ribosomal RNA is filed under the name uncultured bacterium. RNAcentral's name for it is "partial 16S ribosomal RNA". It matches the Rfam family "Bacterial small subunit ribosomal RNA", at positions 28 to 507 of the family's 1533-position model. The record is from RNAcentral.